UACGGAGGGUGCAAGCGUUAUCCGGAUUCACUGGGUUUAAAGGGUGUGUAGGCGGAUUUUUAAGUCAGUGGUGAAAUCUCCAGGCUCAACCUGGAAACUGCCAUUGAUACUAUUAGUCUUGAAUUCUGUUGAGGUGGGCGGAAUACAUCAUGUAGCGGUGAAAUGCUUAGAUAUGAUGUAGAACACCGAUUGCGAAGGCAGCUCACUAAGCAGCGAUUGACGCUGAGGCACGAAAGCGUGGGGAUCAAACAGG
RNAcentral lists this ribosomal RNA (253 nucleotides) under uncultured bacterium. Its description in RNAcentral is "partial 16S ribosomal RNA". It matches the Rfam family "Bacterial small subunit ribosomal RNA", at positions 524 to 776 of the family's 1533-position model. The record is from RNAcentral.